AUUAAUAUUUUCCUACUACAUUCAAAAUCUACAAGUUGGUUUUUAAAUAUUUUCCUACUACAUCCAAAAUCUACAAGUUUCAGCAUCAUCAAAACUCAUCUUCAGGUUUUACCAAUACUCCUUAUUGGUAACAAGAUUUUCUUUGAAUUAAAGUACCUCAACAAAGGCAGGCCAUGUAUGUUAUGAAUAUUUAGAAUUAGCC
Molecule: long non-coding RNA, 202 nt
Filed under: Vigna radiata
Lineage: Eukaryota; Viridiplantae; Streptophyta; Magnoliopsida; Fabales; Fabaceae
Description: long non-coding RNA (VRAD_LNC016027)
Source: RNAcentral